CCUACGGGAGGCAGCAGUGAGGAAUAUUGGUCAAUGGGCGGAAGCCUGAACCAGCCAAGUCGCGUGAGGGAAUAAGGCCCUACGGGUCGUAAACCUCUUUUGCCGGGGAGCAAGGGCGGGGACGUGUCCCGGCCCGGAGAGUACCCGGAGAAAAAGCAUCGGCUAACUCCGUGCCAGCAGCCGCGGUAAUACGGAGGAUGCGACGGUUUUCCGGAUUUAUUGGGUUUAAGGGGUGGGUAGGCGGGCGUUUAGUUCAGCGGGAAAAAGUCGGGCCUCAACCCCGUCCGGCCGUUGAAAAGGGGGGCCUUGAGUGGGCGGGAAGAAGGCGGAAUGCGUGGUGUAGCGGUGAAAUGCAUAGAUAUCACGCAGAACCCCGAUUGCGAAGGCAGCCUUCCGGCGCCCUACUGACGCUGAGGCACGAAAGUGCGGGGAUCGAACAGGAUUAGAUACCCCUGUAGUC
This 460-nucleotide ribosomal RNA is filed under the name uncultured bacterium. RNAcentral describes it as "partial 16S ribosomal RNA". It matches the Rfam family "Bacterial small subunit ribosomal RNA", at positions 338 to 795 of the family's 1533-position model. The record is from RNAcentral.